This 419-nucleotide ribosomal RNA is filed under the name uncultured ammonia-oxidizing beta proteobacterium. RNAcentral's name for it is "bacterial SSU rRNA". It matches the Rfam family "Bacterial small subunit ribosomal RNA", at positions 197 to 597 of the family's 1533-position model. The record is from RNAcentral. Lineage: Bacteria; Pseudomonadati; Pseudomonadota; Betaproteobacteria.
UGGAGAAAAGCAGGGGAUCGCAAGACCUUGCGCUUUUGGAGUGGCCGAUGCCUGAUUAGCUAGUUGGUAGGGUAAUGGCUUACCAAGGCGACGAUCAGUAGUUGGUCUGAGAGGACGACCAGCCACACUGGGACUGAGACACGGCCCAGACUCCUACGGGAGGCAGCAGUGGGGAAUUUUGGACAAUGGGCGGAAGCCCGAUCCAGCAAUGCCGCGUGAGUGAAGAAGGCCUUCGGGUUGUAAAACUCUUUCAGUCGAGAAGAAAAGGUUGUGACUAAUAAUCACAACUCAUGACGGUAUCGACAGAGGAAGCACCGGCUAACUACGUGCCAGCAGCCGCGGUAAUACGUAGGGUGCGAGCGUUAAUCGGAAUUACUGGGCGUAAAGGGUGCGCAGGCGGCUUUGUAAGUCAGAUGUGA